GAUGAACGCUGGCGGCGUGCCUAAUACAUGCAAGUCGAGCGAACAGACGAGGAGCUUGCUCCUCUGACGUUAGCGGCGGACGGGUGAGUAACACGUGGAUAACCUACCUAUAAGACUGGGAUAACUUCGGGAAACCGGAGCUAAUACCGGAUAACAUGUUGAACCGCAUGGUUCAACAGUGAAAGACGGUCUUGCUGUCACUUAUAGAUGGAUCCGCGCCGCAUUAGCUAGUUGGUAAGGUAACGGCUUACCAAGGCAACGAUGCGUAGCCGACCUGAGAGGGUGAUCGGCCAUACUGGAACUGAGACACGGUCCAGACUCCUACGGGAGGCAGCAGUAGGGAAUCUUCCGCAAUGGGCGAAAGCCUGACGGAGCAACGCCGCGUGAGUGAAGAAGGUCUUCGGAUCGUAAAACUCUGUUAUUAGGGAAGAACAAAUGUGUAAGUAACUAUGCACGUCUUGACGGUACCUAAUCAGAAAGCCACGGCUAACUACGUG
RNAcentral lists this ribosomal RNA (497 nucleotides) under uncultured bacterium. RNAcentral describes it as "partial 16S ribosomal RNA". It matches the Rfam family "Bacterial small subunit ribosomal RNA", at positions 28 to 507 of the family's 1533-position model. The record is from RNAcentral.